RNAcentral lists this unclassified non-coding RNA (209 nucleotides) under Hevea brasiliensis (rubber tree). The record is from RNAcentral. Lineage: Eukaryota; Viridiplantae; Streptophyta; Magnoliopsida; Malpighiales; Euphorbiaceae.
GCAUGCACCUGCUACUGGAUGUAGAAGUGAAUUUCCUGAGUACAGUAAUUAUAUAUGCUCAAUUGAAGAAGUGGAUGCUGUUUGCAUGGAUGUUCCAGGAGUCAAAAUAUUCAGGCUUUCUGUUGAUGCGAUGUGCACCAUGUGGUUAAGGAUGCUCAUGGAAAAGGAGCUUGCUAAGAAAUUUAUUUUUUUGAAGGAUUAUUGGGAGG